AGCAGUUCUCUUGCCUCAGCCUCCCAAGUAACUGGUACUACAGUUUGUCCUCGGCUGUUACAGAGAAUUGAUACAAAAAAUGAUCAUGUGAAGAAUUUGCAUCUUCUGCAGAACUACCGGUAUCAGUCAGCAGUAGGAGAUUGUAUAAAUUCAGCCUGAGAUUCCAGAAUAUUCUGUGUAUUGACCACCACAGCAAGAAGAAAAAGUCCAUGUAGGACUGAAAUGAGGAAGAAUGAGAAGGAGUUGAUUUCUGCUGAAUCCAGGAGAAAGAGCUUUCCUCACUACUAACAAGACAGAGGUGUUGAACGAGAAAUGGAAACUCAUUUCCCCCCUCAGUUUUUUUCUUUCUUGCGUACUUUUCCAAUGCCACUUCCAAAUUCAUAGUGAAUAGCAUGAUUAGGAGGUUUUCACAUGGCCCUCUCUGUUUUUUAUUCCUCUAAAUGAUUUUUAAAGUUGUCCAAGGUGAAAACUUUUGUGUGCUUUAUUAGAAAACAUUAAUUACUUACCAAGACACUGUGCUAAGUAGCUUUCCACACAUGACCUCAUUUAAUCCUCAAAAGAACUCUGUGAAUUAGGUUAUCAUGACUACCUCCAAUUUACACAGCCCGGAAGUGUGGGAGCUGGAAUUAAAACAGAGGCAUAUCACCUAGGACUUCAGGGCCCAUGCUCUCUACCACCUCCCAGUUCAUUGAGAGUGAGGAUAAACCUAACUGAUGAGCCUGCUGUGGGGGUCUGGAUUCAUGGUAUAGUGCCUCCCCCACCCCCGAUCCCCCACCUAGCCAAGGUUUUAUUGUGGAAACCAAGGUGAACAGAAAAGGCUGAUCAGAAUGGUCAGAGCCAGACAACCCCACAGAAGUGCAGCACGUUGAUUUCUGACUAUUUAUACAACCCCAUAGGACACUCCCCAUUCACUGAGGCUGGCUGGUGGGAGACAACUCUUAAGUGUAAGAGAAAGAUGCACGUUGGCUAGCAGGGAGCACUUCAUCAUCAUGAUGGAAGGAAGACCACUCAUUAACUUGUUGGACUUGUGGACCACUUCUUGCCUCAUGUUGACCAAAACCAUGUGAAUAGGUUUUUAGCUGUAGCUGCUCCUUAGCCCUCAGAG
This 1105-nucleotide long non-coding RNA is filed under the name Homo sapiens (human). RNAcentral's name for it is "HSALNT0301477". Lineage: Eukaryota; Metazoa; Chordata; Mammalia; Primates; Hominidae. The record is from RNAcentral.